Arachis ipaensis is the source of this 2695-nucleotide non-coding RNA. The record is from RefSeq and is a predicted model, not a curated record. NCBI's taxonomy places the organism in Eukaryota, Viridiplantae, Streptophyta, Magnoliopsida, Fabales, Fabaceae.
AGUGGAGGUUAGAAGAGGUGAACAAUAUUUUAUUCACUUUUCUGUGACAGAACUGAAAAAAUAGAUUACCUGGGAGAUAGUUGGCGUGCAUCUAAACAACAUUGAGCAAAAUCAGAAUAGGCAAUAUGAGAAAUUACUAGAGCUUAUUGGUGCAUUGGGGGACAAAUAUUUCACAAUUGGAUAUUUUAAUGCAAUCUUAGCAACCCAUGAGAAGGAUGGAGGCAUAGAAAAAUCUUCACAAUCAAUUAAGAAUUUCUUGAAUUUUGUUAAUAGAGCACUACUAAUUGAUAUGGGUUACAUUGGGCUAAAAUUCACAUGGUGGAAUAGGAGCUACCAAAAGAGAGCAGUCAGAGAAAGGUUAGAUAAAGGACUGAUCUCGCUGUUUUUGCGAGAGGAAUAUCCCACCGCUACAAUUACCCAUUUAGAGGACAAUGGUAGUGAUCAUAGACUGCUUUUGUUUUGCUCAGGCGAAGGUGGUCAGAGAAAGAAAAGACGCUUCUGGUUUCAAGAGAGAUGGUGCAGUUUGGAAGCAAUUGAUAACAUUGCUUGCAAAACUUGGCAAGAGAGCAUACAAGGUUCACCCAUGUUUCAAUUAUUCCAGAAUUUGAAAAAAUACAAAUCUAAAAUUGUUAAAUGACAAGCUACGAGAGCAAGCAAUUCAAGAAGAGACAUGGAGAGUAUAGAAGUCUCACUUGCGGUGCUAAAAUAAAAUCCAGCAAUGGUAGACAAAAACCAGAUUGAUCUCUUAGAGGAAGAAUUAGCUAGAACUUAUGUGCAGGAAGAGAGAUUUUGGAAGGAAAAAUCAAGAGUAAGCUAGCUGAAAUGAGGAGACCAGAACACUAAGUUUUUUCAUUCAAAGACCCAGUCUCGAAAUAGAAGAAAUAAAAUCUGAAAACUCAAAGAUGAGGCUGGAAAUUGUUGCACUACUUCAGAAGAGAUUGAAGACCGAGCCCAAAGAUACUUCGAGGGUUUGUUUACUUUAGGAAACCCGAAAGAUCCCUCACAGAGCCUAACAAAUCUUAGAAGAAAGAUUUCUACAAAAAUGAAUAGAGAACUAAUAAGGCCAACUAUCGAAGAAGAAAUCAAAAGGGCAAUCUAUUCUAUUAACCCAGAGGCAGCCCUAGGUGACAAUGGCUUCACAUCCAAAUUCUUCGAAAUUUUAUUGGAAUACCAUCAAGCGGAUGUAUGCAAAGCUGUUAGAACUUAGAAACUUUCCUAGAGGAGGGCGCAUGCUUAGAGGGUUCAAUCACAUUCAAAUUUGCCUUAUUUCAAAGAUACAAAAUGCAACUGCAAUGAAUCAAAUUCGGCCGAUCAGCCUCAACACUGUGUUUUACAAAAUCAUCUCUAAGGUACUUGUUCAAAGACUGCAACCUCUUAUGAAUAAAAUUAUUCAUGACAAUUAAAGUUCUUUUAUCCGAGAGAGACUCAUUAGUGACAAUAUCUUAGUGGCUCCUGAAUGUAUGUAUUUUUUGAAGAAUAAGGAGUUUGAUAAUCAUGAUAUGGCACUUAAAAUUAACAUGAGUAAAGCCUAUGAUAGGGUUGAAUGGAGUCUUCUUUGGUUUAUGAUGGAGAAACUGGGUUUCUAUGAUAAGUGAAUUGGGUGGAUUAAAGAGUGUGUGUCUACAAUCUCUUAUUCUGUUGUUGUGGAAGGAAUUCCUACUAGCUUCUUUAGGCCAAGCAGAGGGCUCCGUAAAGAAAAUUCCCUCUCUCCCUAUCUUUUUUUUUUUAUUUGUGCAGAGGGACUGUCCCUUCUGCUCCACAAAGAAAAACAGAAUAACCUACUGCAGGGAUUUUGGUUGAAUAGUAGAUGCUCCUCCAUUAACCACCUAUUACUUGUAGACGAUUCUAUAUUGUUUGGAAGAGCUAAUAUGUGAUCAUGUGACAAGAUCCUAGGCAUCCUACAGCGGUACAGCGAGCUGAGUAGCCAGCUCAUUAAUCUAAACAAGUCGGCCAUUUUUUUCAGCAAGAAUAUGCCUCAAACAACCUGGACAGAACUAGCUACUUUGAUUGGGUUUCCUAAUAUUGGUGCUCAAGACCAUUAUUUGGGCCUUCCGUCAGUUAUCAAUAGAACCAAAAGAGAAACAUUCUCAUCUGUUAAAGAUAAGGUUAGAAAGAAGUUGCAGCACUGGAAAAGAACGAUGUUUUCGGCAAGCGAAAGAGAGAUUCUGAUAAAGGUGAUUAGCACAACGAUACCGAUUUACUCGCUUAAUUAUUUUAAGCUUUUAUAUACUCUUUUAGAUGAAAUUCAUAAAAUAAUGAUGCAGUUUUGGCGGGGACAAAAAUAGAAUUAGAGAAAAAUACACUGGAUAAGUUGGGACUCAAUCAGCAGACAAAAAUCCAAGAGGUUUGGGUUUUAAAAAUCUCAAAGCUUUCAACUUAUCAAUGCUAGCCAAACAAGGAUAAAAACUUCUAACAAGAACACAUUCACUGGUAUAUAAAAUCUACAAAAAUAAAUAUUUUCGAUAUACCUUUUUCUCGGAAGCAAAGCCUGGAUUCAGACCUUUUUGGGCUUGACGGAAUCUCUUGGAGGACAGAAAGGUUCUAGGGAAAGGCGUUAGAUUCAGUGUCACUACCCAUGGCUCCACCAGAAUAAGAAAAGACUCGUGGUUCGGAGACCAACUCCUUUUCAGGUUCCCAGCAGCAGCAGAACAAAAUCUUGAAAUGCAUUGGGUCCAGCAGCUGAUAACAGAUACUG